This 301-nucleotide ribosomal RNA is filed under the name uncultured bacterium. RNAcentral's name for it is "partial 16S ribosomal RNA". It matches the Rfam family "Bacterial small subunit ribosomal RNA", at positions 509 to 807 of the family's 1533-position model. The record is from RNAcentral.
CAGCAGCCACGGGAAAACGAAGGGGGCUAGCGUUGUUCGGAUUUACUGGGCGUAAAGGGCGCGUAGGCGGACUGAUAAGUCAGGGGUGAAAUCCCAAGGCUCAACCUUGGAACUGCCUUUGAUACUGUUUGUCUUGAGUUCGAGAGAGGUAAGUGGAACUGCGAGUGUAGAGGUGAAAUUCGUAGAUAUUCGCAAGAACACCAGUGGCGAAGGCGGCUUACUGGCUCGAUACUGACGCUGAGGCGCGAAAGCGUGGGGAGCAAAUGGGAUUAGAUACCCCGGUAGUCCCUGUCUCUUAUAC